Long non-coding RNA from Salarias fasciatus (jewelled blenny), 2288 nucleotides. Lineage: Eukaryota; Metazoa; Chordata; Actinopteri; Blenniiformes; Blenniidae. The record is from Ensembl.
UCUCGACCGUCAAAACGAAAACAAAUUGGCCUCCGAGGUGGAAGCUGCUGCGCACGCUGCGAGAGGGAGUCAGAACGCAGAGGAAAAACCUUCAGCCUCCAGCAGUUUGGGUCCUUUUCAGCGCGAGCUCCCCCCCUCCUCCCGGCGGUGCCCGCUGGAUUUGGUGUCAGCGCGCGCAGCAGUGGGCACGCACUUUUCCUCAACCCGACUCUCCACUGCGUUCUGCCUGACCUUCACAGCGAUAGUUUGCCUGCAGUCUCCACACUGAUCCGGAGGCUUUCCUGGAGCUGGAGUGUCCCCUCAUUUCACACUAGAAAGACAUUUGACACUUACACUCUGUCCCCUGACCCCUGACCUCUGUGCACGGCUUCUGUCAUCAACCUCACUCCUCAGUUCAGUGGUCAGAGCAGUCGUUUUAGCAGGCAUACAUCGUAUUAAGUAACAAAUCUUUCUUAGAGGCUGUGUUUGUGUUAAUAAUUCAAGUUUGACUUUCAGUGUCUUUCUUAGAAGUUUAAAGUUAGCGUGGGUGUUUUAAAGAUAAUAUUGUGUGUCACAGUUAAAGAUGAUGCCUGAGUUAGUGGUCAUGGAUUUUAUGUUGGUCAUGGGUUAUGUGUUAGUGGUGACAGGUUUAAGUUGGUGGUUACUGAUUAUAAGUUAGUGAUGAAGUUUUAAGGGUCAGUAGUGUUGGGUUUUAGGAUUAUGGGUUGUAGUGGUGAUGGGUUACAAGUUAGUGGCAAUGGACUCUAUGUUUUUGUGUUGGUGGAUAAGGGUUAUAGUCAGUUGUGAUGGGUUAAGAGUAUUGCAAAUGGCCUAUUUGUUGCGCCUUAUAUGUUAGUGUCGGGCUGCACAAUUAACCGAUUUUAAAUCGUAAUUGAAUUAUUUACUGAACCAAGUAUUACAAAAAGGGAAAAUUGAUUUUCCAUUAACCGUGCCCGACAUGGUGGGAUCCCGGGUCCCCUGCAGCCCCGGGCGCACCGCCGCGUCACGGGAGAUGGAGCUUGAAUGCGUGCGAUAGGUUAGGACCCAAACCAUUGGUGGGGAAAAAAGUUGAUUUAAGGUCUUUCAGCUUUGCCAUAAGCAUAUGCUUGAUUUAGCCUUUGCACGGUGAAGAUGUGCAGCUGAGGACGGGACGGAUCCACAAAGUGAAACCAGAGGGGUUACUGAGUGCGCACAGUGUGAGGAGUUCAGAGGUCACCAGACACACUGAGCUGUGAGGUCACUGUCAGCCAGGCCAGAGGUCACUGGUCAGUAUGUGGAGCAGCGGUGAUGGCCGACGGACUGGAUACAGUCUCUUUCCAACACCGCAGCUGAAACUUACCCAGAUGUCCAGCAGAUGAAGAAUUCUCAGUGGAGGCGUCCCUUAUUUCUUGUGUUUUAUUAAGGAUUAUCGAAGACCUGGCAGGAUCUGUAUUUUAACAUCUGACCCAGAGUCUAAUCACCUUGUGAGGAAAAGUGCACGGAUUACGACAGUGUUUCCUGGAAAACUGUGUGUGAAUUGGGUUGUGGGAUAUUUUCAGGCUCAUUGGUCUCAUGUCCGCUUGAAUGUGGUGAUGAGAUUAAUUUUCUUAAGGUAAACACAAGCAGGCAGCCUUACGCACAGAGAUGGAUGCACACGCACACGAGCACAUCAAUGGAUGUAGUCCAGUGUGAAAGAGCAUCAGGUGUGUGUAAAUACACACAUCUGUUUGCCAUAUGGACAGCUCUCCCGUGACCCGGACGGUUUUCUGUGGUUAAACCACCGAUGAACUAUCUGGGGAGUUCCAAUAAAGAAGACCUACAAAAACAAAAAUAAUAAACAAACUUCAUGUCAGGUUUUCGGAAAAGCUUCCACAUCUUCCACAACGCCGCAGGAAUGACAGUGCAACAUGUGCUGCAUGACGGCAUGACCCAUGAUCUAACAGGGCCGAGUGUGGGUGGGACGCUUUAGGGCAUGUGCUGAAUGUGUGACUCCACUUCCUCUUCUUACCUCCAUUCCACUGUUUCAGAUCCUCUUUUGACUGACAGACAGUAGUGGCAGUCUUCCUCAGUCUCUUGUUUCUCUGAAAGAACAGCGUUUCAGCUGCAUUUGUGAAACACACUCCGCAGCUGCUCGGCUGUUUAUAUCUGGACAAUUUGCUUGUUAGUGUUAACUGUGGGGAUCAGUCGUGGCUUUUAGAUGUGGAUCUGUGAAUUUUUUUUAUGGUCCGUGACAAAUUUCACAAUCAUAGUUGUCAUUGCUAUCGGUGUUCUUUCAAAACGUUUGAGGCCUAAUAAAUAUCUACCUUAUGACUAUAUGGAAAACAACUACA